GAUGAACGCUGGCGGCGUGCUUAAUACAUGCAAGUCGAACGGAAAGGCGCUGCUUUUGUGGGGUGCUCGAGUGGCGAACGGGUGAGAAAAACGCGAGUAACCCGCCCUUGACAUUGGGAUAACUUCUGGAAACAGGGGAUCAUACAGGAUAGGAGCUCCUGCUGCACGGUGGGGGUUGGAAAGUUUCGGCGGUUGGGGCUGGAAUCGCGGCUUAUCAGCUAGUUGGUGGGGUAGUGGCUUACAAAGGUUUUGACGGGUAGCCGGCCUGAGAGGGUGACCGGCCACAUUGGGACUGAGGUACGGCCCAGACGCCUACGGGAGGCAGCAGUGGGGAAUAUUGCGCAAUGGGCGGAAGCCUGAUGCAGCAGCGCCGCGUUCGGGAUGACGGCCUUCGGGUUGUAAACCGCUUUCGCCUGUGACGUAGCCUGAGUGACGGUAAUGGGUAAGGAAGCACCGGCUAACUACGUG
RNAcentral lists this ribosomal RNA (468 nucleotides) under uncultured bacterium. RNAcentral's name for it is "partial 16S ribosomal RNA". It matches the Rfam family "Bacterial small subunit ribosomal RNA", at positions 28 to 507 of the family's 1533-position model. The record is from RNAcentral.